This 111-nucleotide transfer RNA is filed under the name Bradyrhizobium yuanmingense. RNAcentral's name for it is "tRNA_Pseudo_TTG". It matches the Rfam family "tRNA". From Rfam's summary of the family: Transfer RNA (tRNA) molecules are approximately 80 nucleotides in length. Their secondary structure includes four short double-helical elements and three loops (D, anti-codon, and T loops). Further hydrogen bonds mediate the characteristic L-shaped molecular structure. tRNAs have two regions of fundamental functional importance: the anti-codon, which is responsible for specific mRNA codon recognition, and the 3' end, to which the tRNAs corresponding amino acid is attached (by aminoacyl-tRNA synthetases). tRNAs cope with the degeneracy of the genetic code in two manners: having more than one tRNA (with a specific anti-codon) for a particular amino acid; and 'wobble' base-pairing, i.e. permitting non-standard base-pairing at the 3rd anti-codon position. Lineage: Bacteria; Pseudomonadati; Pseudomonadota; Alphaproteobacteria; Hyphomicrobiales; Nitrobacteraceae. The record is from RNAcentral.
CGCGCCGUAAUCUCAAUCGGACAGAGCCCUGUCGGUCUUUGAAAUCCAAGCCUAGACAACUCGGAGAGUAAGGGCAGGGGGUUGCAGGUUCAAGUCCUGCCGGCGCGCCCA